UCUUCCCUUUCUACCUCUUGUAAGCAGGGCCGUAUACGUUCGCUGACACCGAAAGUGGGUGGUGCAAACGAAGCGCGUCGAACAUGGUGAAUACACGCACCUUCGGUGCAGUCGUUCUUUUUGUUAUAUUUGUCCUUGCCAUGUUAGAAAGGCAAGUUACUUUCAUUGCGUAUGCGAGUCCUAUUUGGGAGAGAAAACCUGGCGCGUCAAGCUUCGGGGCCCCACGUACCUCUUCGAGCCAGCACUCAUCUCAACGAGGUGCAUCGGCAAGAAGCAGUAAUGCUCUGAGCCGCCCACAAGCACAGAGAAUUCAACAACAGAUUCGGAAAGCUAGCCAAUCCACUCCUAAAAAGAAUGGAUAAUGCAAUAAAAAUGAAGACUGUGAAUGCUCAACCAGAUGGACCAAGCCCGGGAGCGGGAGCUUCGACAGCGCGAACAGCUGCCCGAGUCGGACCGAGUGUCAGUCGUGCGAGAAGGGCUCUUUCAAAUAGCAUCGGACCCAGCCAUGUCAGCCUCGAAGACAUGAAAGACUUGAUGAGUGCAAUGAAAAGACAGCCACGCAAUUCGGGGUUGCAGCCCCAGCCGCCCCGUCAAACUGUGAAUCGGAGGGUAUGAUGCUGGCAAAUCUAACGCAAACAUGGUUUCCAUACGAUUGAUGCGGCAUGUUGGUGCUGCACAACAGCACGUCAACAUCUCCUGAGGAAGAUGAGAGUGUGCAGAGAAAAGUGGCGGCAUUUAUUCUCCUCUGCAAGAAGUGUGGUGCAGUGCCUACGGCUUCUGUUCAUUAGCUAUUUACCACGAGUCUUGCAGUACUGCCUUAUUGAGAACCACCAGUACAACAGACACGUCCCACCUCCGUUGCCCACAAGAUACAAAAAACUUCUUAAUCGUAUUUGUUGUAGGUUACGGUAUAUGUGCCUAGAAGUGAUGGGCUUCAAGUAUCAUAUUAUUCCUCCAUUUAAUGCAUUAUUGCUGACCUCUAUAUGUUUGUGACUGCUUUUAAAAUAAAAGUUUUCUGUG
Long non-coding RNA from Rhipicephalus sanguineus (brown dog tick), 1020 nucleotides. RefSeq lists it as uncharacterized. The record is from RefSeq and is a predicted model, not a curated record. The transcript has 3 exons. Lineage: Eukaryota; Metazoa; Arthropoda; Arachnida; Ixodida; Ixodidae.